This 484-nucleotide ribosomal RNA is filed under the name uncultured bacterium. RNAcentral's name for it is "partial 16S ribosomal RNA". It matches the Rfam family "Bacterial small subunit ribosomal RNA", at positions 30 to 507 of the family's 1533-position model. The record is from RNAcentral.
AUUGAACGCUGGCGGCAUGCCUAACACAUGCAAGUCGAGCGGAUGAAGGGAGCUUUCUCCUGUCUUCCGUUACCGGCGGGUGGGUAAGGCCCAGGAGGCUGCCUUGUCUAUGGGAAUAACGUCCGUUAGCGGACCCUAAUAUCGCAUACGUCCUGAUGUUGAACCUGGGGGUUCUUCGGACCUAGCCGUAUCUGAUGACCCUUGGUCGGAUUAGCUAGUUGGUGGGGUAAAGGCCUACCAAGGCGACGAUCCGUAACUGGUCUGAGAGGAUGAUCAGUCACACUGGAACUGAGACACGGUCCAGACUCCUACGGGAGGCAGCAGUGGGGAAUCUUGGGCAAUGGGCGAAAGCCUGAUGGAGCCACGCCGCGUGUGUGAAGAAGGUCUUCGGAUUGUAAAGCACUGUAAGUUGGGAGGAAGGGCAGUGAGUUAAUCUAUUGCUGUUUUGACGGUACCAACAGAAUAAGCCACGGCUAACUUCGUG